AACGUAGGUGGCGAGCGUUAUCCGGAUUUACUGGGCGUAAAGCGUGUGCAGGCGGAUGGACAAGUGGUGUAUGAAAUCGCUCGGCUAAACCGGGCGGGGUUAUGCCAGACUGUUCAUCUGGAGUGCGAGAGAGGGGCGUGGAAUUCCGGGUGUAGUGGUGAAAUGCUUAGAUAUGACAUAGAACACCGAUAGCGAAGGCAGCUUGCUACACAAUUAUUGACACUGAGGCUCGAAAGCGUGGGGAUCAAACAGG
Molecule: ribosomal RNA, 253 nt
Filed under: uncultured bacterium
Lineage: Bacteria
Description: partial 16S ribosomal RNA
Rfam family: Bacterial small subunit ribosomal RNA
Source: RNAcentral